RNAcentral lists this ribosomal RNA (235 nucleotides) under uncultured bacterium. RNAcentral's name for it is "partial 16S ribosomal RNA". It matches the Rfam family "Bacterial small subunit ribosomal RNA", at positions 118 to 353 of the family's 1533-position model. The record is from RNAcentral.
UGAGCAACCUGCCCUUGACUCUGGAAUAACAGUUGGAAACAGUUGCUAAUACCGGAUAUGACCUUGUGCGACAUCACACGAGGUGGAAAGCUCCGGCGGUCAAGGGUGGGCUCGCGGCCUAUCAGCUUGUUGGUGAGGUAACGGCUCACCAAGGCUUCGACGGGUAGCCGGCCUGAGAGGGCGACCGGCCACACUGGGACUGAGACACGGCCCAGACCUCCUACGGGAGGNAGCG